This 939-nucleotide long non-coding RNA is filed under the name Pan paniscus (pygmy chimpanzee). Its description in RNAcentral is "lncRNA (ENSPPAG00000044275.1)". Lineage: Eukaryota; Metazoa; Chordata; Mammalia; Primates; Hominidae. The record is from RNAcentral.
UAUAAACAAAAGACAUUCUUCUCAGAGAUGGCCUUAUUAAUCAGUUUAUUAUUCAAUGGGUCAGAAUUUGCAUUUUGAACAUAUCACUUUCUACCAUGCGUGCUGUUACUUAGUUGUGUGACUUACGUUGUCUACCAAAGUGAAAGCUUCUGAAGAUACCAUCACAGAGACCAGUACAGGGCCUCGCCCAACAUGGUCUCAGUAAAUAUCUCAAGAAUAAAUAAAGAGUGGGAAGAUGACACAGAGCGAGUCUGUUGAUAUCUACAAAAUAUGUUAUUUAACCUGGCAAUUCUCUAAUACCAACUUUUCUCCUGGGCUGGACACCAGCCUUUCCAAAUGGCUGAUUGAACUCUUCCCAUGAAUGAGCUGCCAGCGCCGUAUGGAAAAUGUUAUCUGUAGAAGGAACAAAAGUCAAACAUAUGAUGUGUCAACGAAUGACUUUCACUUUGAUUUUGAAAACACCACCAAGAGUUUGGAAUGGAAAGAUGCCGUGAAAGCAGCAUACAAGCCGGAGAGCCUACUGGAAGCAAGAGGGGAAAACCCAGCCAGGUAUGGGGGCUGCGGGGAGGAUGCCAGGUGGUGGAGACUGGAUUCAGGAUUUGAUGCUUGAACUGAACCUUCUUUUAAGAGAAACACAGCUGCACGGCACUGACAGAGAACUCGCAGAGUAAAAAGGAACCCACAAUAAACGAGCUGCUUUGCGCCAUGUUCACAAUUUCCUUGCAGGGUGGGGGCAGAGAUGGUGCGAGUAAACUGACCCAUUUGGAAGCCCACUUGGAAACUGGGUUCCUUUUUAAAAAAUAAAUUUAUUUCCAUAGGUUUUUGGGGAACAGGUGGUAUUCGGUUACAUGAGUAAGUUCUUCAGUUGUAAUUUGUGAGAUUUUGUGCACCCAUCACCCAAGAAGUAUACACUGAACUCAGUGUGUAGUUUUUUAUCCC